GAAGCUUAUGUUCAAAAAGGAGUUCGAUAGCAGCUAUGUUGGGUUCCUGAGUGAUGGGGCAAAAUGGCUGGUACAGAACACAGACAUCAAACUUGUUGGACUUGAUUACUUGUCGGUUGCUGCCUAUACUGAUCUCGUUCAAACACAUCGUGUCUUAUUGAAAAGCAGGGAAAUUGUUAUUGUGGAGGGCUUAAAACUUGACGACAUUAAACCAGGACUAUAUGAUCUCCAUUGCUUGCCUAUGAGGGUUCUUGGUGCUGAAGGUACGCCAACAAGAUGCAUUCUUAUGGGAUGAUAUUUUUCAGGCUUGUGAUUUUAUGGAAAUAAAUUAUUAUGAGUUUAAUUAUGAUAAUCAAUCAAGGAUAAUCAAUGAUUAUUUUUUAUGGGUUAAUUAAUCAAGAUUAGAUGAUUGUCUAGUAGUUAGUAGUUGUGGGCUGGUAGAUGGUGAUGUAACAAGGUGACAUGUAGUUGCUACGGUGGCUACAGAAUUAAUUUGCCAAUUUGUGCUAGAUUGAAUAUCCUGAAUAAGAAUAUUUUUUCUUUCUCA
This 547-nucleotide unclassified non-coding RNA is filed under the name Hevea brasiliensis (rubber tree). Lineage: Eukaryota; Viridiplantae; Streptophyta; Magnoliopsida; Malpighiales; Euphorbiaceae. The record is from RNAcentral.